This is a non-coding RNA of Ceratotherium simum simum (southern white rhinoceros), 152 nucleotides long. The record is from RefSeq and is a predicted model, not a curated record. Lineage: Eukaryota; Metazoa; Chordata; Mammalia; Perissodactyla; Rhinocerotidae.
CUUGAAUGUCUACAGAUUAGUUAGUAGUAUUUUAUCAAUGUUCAUUUCCUGGUUUCAGAAAUUGGACUAUGGUUUUGUAAGAUGUUAUCUGGGGAAGCCAAAUGAGGGGUUUAUGAGAACUAUGUAUUAGUUGCACAACAGUUUCAUGAGGC